RNAcentral lists this long non-coding RNA (737 nucleotides) under Olea europaea (common olive). Its description in RNAcentral is "long non-coding RNA (OEUR_LNC001323)". The record is from RNAcentral. Lineage: Eukaryota; Viridiplantae; Streptophyta; Magnoliopsida; Lamiales; Oleaceae.
AGCUCUGUCCUAAUGGGUGGAGGACACUAAUUGCCACUCUGAUCCUAUGGAAUAGGAUAGGUUAUCCCCAGCUCACUGUAGAUCAGUUCAAUUCUCUAUACUCUUUUAAGGAGGAUGGAAAAGACUCCGACUGGUACUAUGCCAAUGUUAGGCUUAGGAUUGGAGGAUCAUUAAUAUGGGGGACUUCAUCCUCGAUGAAAAAAUGGAAACACGAGUUCUUCUUUGUGUUUGGAAAGGGGCACUGAAGUUGAUAGGGAGGAAUUUGUCCCAACCCGUUAUCACAAGAUGUGCAAGUUUCCCUUACAGCUUUUCUGGUACACUUACUAACUUCGGAGUCACUUCUUAAAUGACUUACGUUCUGUCUUUUGCUUUGCAGUUUAUAAGAAGACUGCUAUAACUUUGGCUACCAAGAGCAAGAUUGACGCCAUUUGAGCUCUUCCAAAGAGACAGAGGUCUCGUAACACGGUAAUUUCUUAUUUCAAUAUGUUUAAGAGAGGCCUGUUUCAUUGUGCUUUUGUUCCACAGCAGCCUACUCAACUUCAAGUAUGAAAUCUAUUUUCUAUUGUUUUCACUGUAUUAUUGAUCUAAUGUAUAAUCCAAGGACUAUUGUUUUCCUUUAGAUAGAAAUGAGGAAAUAUUGGGAUAAAAGGCUUCCAAAGCUGCAGAGGUAGCUAAGGUUAUUGUUAUGAAGACAAAAAAAGAAGGAUUAUCCUGUUCGAGGAGGUCAGAAUGAGCUG